RNAcentral lists this ribosomal RNA (459 nucleotides) under Nerita albicilla. Its description in RNAcentral is "partial 16S large subunit ribosomal RNA". It matches the Rfam family "Bacterial large subunit ribosomal RNA", at positions 1913 to 2597 of the family's 2925-position model. The record is from RNAcentral. Lineage: Eukaryota; Metazoa; Mollusca; Gastropoda; Cycloneritida; Neritidae.
CAGUGAUCACUUUAACGGCCGCGGUACCCUGACCGUGCAAAGGUAGCAUAAUCAUUUGCCUUUUAAUUGGAGGCUAGUAUGAAUGGUCUGACGAGAGUAAAACUGUCUCAUAUAUAUUCAAUAGAAAUUAACUUAAAGGUGCAAAGGCCUUUAUAAUCUAAAAAGACGAGAAGACCCUGUUGAGCUUUAAUCUUAAUAAGCAUUUCUUCUAUAUUAAUAAAUUCAUUUUGCUUACUAAAGAUUUUAAUUGGGGCGAUUAAGGAACACUCACCAGCUUCCUGAUCAUAAACUAAACCGAUCCAGCAAUGUUGAUCAGCAAAGCGAGUUACCACAGGGAUAACAGCAUAAUUCUCCUUGAGAGCCCAUAUCGAAAGGAGAGAUUGUGACCUCGAUGUUGGACUAGGGUAACCAGAAGGUGCAGCCGCUUUCUUGUUUGGUCUGUUCGACCAAUAAUUCCCU